CCCUUAGAUGAUUUGGGCUGCACGCGCGCUACACUGACCCUAACAAUGAGCAACUGUCUGGCCUGAGAUGGCUGGGUAGCCUUUUCAACCCAUGUCAUGAUUGGGCUAGAUUUUUGUAAGUCUUGAUCUCUAACGAGGAAUCCCUAGUAUGCGUGAAUCAUCAAUCCAUGCAGAUUAUGUCCCUGCCCUUUGUACACACCGCCCGUCGCUCCUACUGAUUGGGUGAUCCGGUGAGCUGUUCGGCCAUAGCAAUGUUUCUUGAGCAGAGCAAUGAAUGUUUCGCAAACCUUGCCACUUAGAGGAAGGAGAAGUCGUAACA
Molecule: ribosomal RNA, 319 nt
Filed under: uncultured eukaryote
Lineage: Eukaryota
Description: partial 18S ribosomal RNA
Rfam family: Eukaryotic small subunit ribosomal RNA
Source: RNAcentral